Molecule: ribosomal RNA, 252 nt
Filed under: uncultured bacterium
Lineage: Bacteria
Description: partial 16S ribosomal RNA
Rfam family: Bacterial small subunit ribosomal RNA
Source: RNAcentral
UACGGGGGGAGCAAGCGUUGUUCGGAUUUACUGGGCGUAAAGGGCGCGUAGGCGGCGUGUUAGGUCAGCUGUGAAAUCUCCAAGCUCAACUUGGAACGGCCAGCUGAUACUGAUGUGCUAGAGUGCAGAAGGGGCAAUCGGAAUUCUUGGUGUAGCGGUGAAAUGCGUAGAUAUCAAGAGGAACACCUGAGGUGAAGACGGGUUGCUGGCUGACACUGACGCUGAGGCGCGAAAGCCAGGGGAGCAAACGGG